Stegostoma tigrinum is the source of this 3855-nucleotide RNA transcript. It is a transcript of the gene named leucine zipper, putative tumor suppressor 2a, with no coding region annotated. Lineage: Eukaryota; Metazoa; Chordata; Chondrichthyes; Orectolobiformes; Stegostomatidae. The record is from RefSeq and is a predicted model, not a curated record. The transcript has 8 exons.
AGAUGCUGAAGGGAACUGAAGGAAGUUCUGCGUGUUUGUUUGUCAUCGGCCCUUUUUCUCCCCACUCUGUAUGUGCAUAUGCAUCGAACAGAAACAUGCUGGCCGGCUCUAGCGGCGUAAAGGUGUGGGGCUAGACCGAGGAAAGAGAGAGAAAUUUGAACUGACUUUGAAAGCGGCUCGUUGGAUCGCAACUGAAAGUAGGGGAGAGGGCGAGUCGAUAGACGCCUGGGUCUUCAGUAUGUCAUCUGGAAGGAUUUGCUUUUACAGAAAGUGUGGAGAAAACAACAGCUAAGUGACCGACCCCAAAUGGGAACAGUUCACCACAAGGAGUUAAUGUCGGAGAUUGGAGAGGGCUGCACACGCUGCCAAGAAUACAGUCUUCCAGAAAUCACUGAACUGAUGGGAACUUCUGCUCUCUUACCGUAAAGACUGAACAAGGGAACCCAAAUACUGUGGACAUUGUGACAGUUCAUCGCCAUGGCAAUGAUUCAGACCAUGCCCAUAGCUUCUGAGCGUCAGAAUUCAGAAAGUGAACACAGACUGCGAACAUCUGCAGCAUCGCCGAUCUUGCAGAGCACCAUGGGAAGCGUUGGCAGUCUUGUAUCAGGGCGCAACUACCAUGAUAAACACUGCAAGGCCAUGGAGUACAGCAACAAGUGUUGCAAGACCGGCCAAGUGCUGAAUAUUUUCAGGCAACAGGAUGGACACCUCAAAAAUGGCUACUCUCAGGACUGUGUUGGUGGAGUAGCUUCCAGGAAGCAAUGUUCAGCAAUUGGAAAAAGUGGGAAUUAUGCAUAUUUAAGUGAAGACCAGCGCAAUGGAAGUUGGAGCAUGACGGAAUCACCCAGCAGCCCUUGCAGUGAUCCUGAAGAUUUCCGUGAAGCCAGGUCAAUGAAUGGAAAUAUCCGAGGGCCCCCUCCAAAAAUAAUUCCAGUCUCAGGCAAACUCGAGAAGAACAUUGAAAAGAACAUUAUCAGACCGACAGCGUUCAAGCCCGUGCUGACCAAGAACAGGAGCUCAGUGCAGUACCUUGUCCCUCGUCCUGCUAAUGGGCUGUCGGACAGUGUGGGCAGCCUCAACAUCUUGUUCAAUGGUGGCUCUGUGAGCUCGGUCAACUCUGUCGAAAAGCGUAGCUCCUUGCAGGCAUUCAACUGCAAGAACAGCGUGCACUCUGGAACGAUGUCGGAUUCCGGGAGGAACUCCCUGUCCAGCCUCCCGACGUAUAGCGUGGGCUGUGGGCCGCACCUCGAGACGGGACACACCAACCUGGAGGCUGGCGGCCAGCAGCAUCUGUUCCAUGAGAGGGGCUUGGUGGUGGGACUGUCAAACUCCGACAGCGGCCGCUCCUCACCCAGCAAGAGCACGGCGUCUCUGACCAGCCGCGGGCCCCCGCUCUCCGACAGCGGGUCCUGCGACCGCUCACCGGUCUCCGCCCACGAGCUGCUGGUCCGCGAGCUGGAAGAGAAGCUGCGGGAGCGUGACGCCGAACUCCAGCAGAUGCGCCUGAGCCUGGAGGAGAGCGAAGUCGCCCUGUGCCAGGUCUAUGAGGAGAAGCGGCGCCGCUGUGAGCAGGAGAUGGAAGAGCUGAGGCAGAGCUGUGCCAACAAGUUCAAACAGAGCUCACAGAAGGCCCAGCGGGUGCAGCAAGUCCUGCAGCUAGAGCUGUUCCAGCUCCAACAGGAGAAGAAGAAACUGCAGGAGGACUUUGCCCAGUUACUGCAGGAACGCGAAGCCCUGGAGAAGAAGUGUGCGACGAUCGAAAAAGAGCAGACAGAGCUUGGGCCAAGACUGGAGGAAACCAAAUGGGAGGUUUGCCAAAAGUCCGGAGAGAUUUCUCUACUGAAGCAGCAGCUGAAGGACUCACAGGCUGAGCUCUCUCUGAAGAGCAAUGAGAUUAUCUCCUUGAAGGCUCAGCUCCGAGAGAUCAGAGCUGAACUCCAAGAUCACGAGGAUGAGAUUCACGAGUUCCGGGACUCUGUCCACACAAAAACCCUGGAGCUGGAAGUCUGCGAGAAUGAACUUCAGCGGAAGAAGAACGAGGCUGAACUUUUGAGAGAAAAGGUGGGAAUGCUGGAGGAGGAGACCACGGGCCUGAGAGAAGCUCUGGGCCACACAAGGCACAUGAACCAGGAGCAGGAAGACGCUGCCCUAAUGUACGAAAGUGACGAAGCCAAGGUGCAGCGACAAAAUGCAGACAACCAGAUGGCCCUGAGGCAGCAGGUGGAGAAACUGAGGGCUGAGCUUAUGUACGAACGAAAGAGGUGCGAGACCCAGCUGGAGAACUUUGAGGUGGAGCGGCGCACCUGGCAGGGUGAGAAAGAGAAAGUGAUUCGGUACCAGAAACAGCUGCAGCACAACUACAUCCAAAUGUACAGGAGGAAUCGAGAGCUGGAAAGAGAGAUGAGGCAGCUCACCUUGGAACUGGAGUCCAGGGAAAUAGGUGGGCUUGAAAUGCGAAACAAAGACAUUCAAUUUGAGGAAAUCACUGCGACAGAAAUCUAACUUAAAGAAAAGAUUUUAGUAACGAACAAAAGCACCCAUGCCAAAUCUAGUGUUGGAUAAAUAUAACACCGACAUAAUGGACAAUCAAUAUAAGUCUUUAACCUUCUCAAGUUUAUUCAGAUGCUCCCAAUAAAAGGACAUUUAAUGGCUUUGGAUAACCUGAUACAUACUCCCUGCAGGCACGUUUGGACACCUCAAUCUAUUACUUUUAUGGAGAACAGUUUGGUGAAUCUUCCUCCUUGUCACACAUUCACCAACACAAGAGCAAUUUCGGCAAUUUGACUAAUGGCUGAACAAGCCUUUCAUCAGGAAAGACAAAAGCAAUAAUGUCAAAGAUUAACUGAAACAUGCUUUAUAGAUGUGGAAGUAAAUAAAAGCCUCAAUAUCCUUCCGGACAGUGGUAAACCUUUCAUCUUGGCAGUAUCACAAAGAUUUUAUGCAGAUACUGCAUGAGUUACAGGGAAAAAGUGCAUGGGAGUGAGUUGGACUUUACAGAAAAGCACCAAGUUACUUGAAUCCUCUUCCACUUAUGUCAGUGAAAAGCAACAGCUUCUCAGUACUACAGUUACAAGAAGUUUUCUGCAGUAGUCUGGAUAGUUCAAGGAGAAAUAUUAGUGAAAAAUUAUGACAUUAUCUCAAUAUCCAACUGUUCUUCUAAACCUGAGGGAAUGGAAACUUACAAAGUGCAGUUUGGAGAUGCCACAACUGUGCCAUAGUCAUUUGCAGCAAUUAUUAAAAACAAAUGAAAAUCCCUGGCAGUGCAGUUGUGUAGAAUUCUUGUGCAAAACGAAAUGGUACAUUAAUGUUGCAGAUAAAUCAUGUGAUGAACGUAAAGGCAAACACUUUAAAUAAAUGGUGCAUUGUAAUGAAAAUGAAUACGUUCUUUAUAAAAUAAUUUAAUGGUCAUCUGAAGAAGGAACUGUGUCAUAUUCUGUUUUGGGAUAUGUACGUUGAGAAAGUAAUGAUCCAUUUACUUGUUUUGAAUAAUGAAGUAAAACAGUGUCCAUUCACUGUUUGAAAUCUUUUGUAAAUUUGUUUUAAAAUCAGCUGUAAAGUGGGUCAGAUUUCAAAUGAAUUGAAGUGUUGUUGAAAGACACGUGAUUUGUUUAAAAAUGCCUGUAUUGUGUGAUCAUCUCAGUUUAUAAGUUAACAGUCCAUCAUGGUCCUAAAUGAUUUAGUCUUCAGUUGCUCUUAGGUACCUUAACAACCAACACCAUUGGAUCUAGCGAUUUGUUACUGUAAGAUCGUCGAAUUAUGUCCACUGCUUGUCGAUGUGUGACAUUUUGCAGGCUUUUUCCAUCAGCUGAAACCAAUUCAUGACCAGCCUAUGACAGGGGAAGAAAACAGCACAAU